AGCCUGAUGCAGCCAUGCCGCGUGUGUGAAGAAGGCCUUCGGGUUGUAAAGCACUUUCAGUCAGGAGGAAAGGUUAGUAGUUAAUACCUGCUAGCUGUGACGUUACUGACAGAAGAAGCACCGGCUAACUCCGUGCCAGCAGCCGCGGUAAUACGGAGGGUGCGAGCGUUAAUCGGAAUUACUGGGCGUAAAGCGUACGCAGGCGGUUUGUUAAGCGAGAUGUGAAAGCCCCGGGCUCAACCUGGGAACUGCAUUUCGAACUGGCAAACUAGAGUGUGAUAGAGGGUGGUAGAAUUUCAGGUGUAGCGGUGAAAUGCGUAGAGAUCUGAAGGAAUACCGAUGGCGAAGGCAGCCACCUGGGUCAACACUGACGCUCAUGUACGAAAGCGUGGGGAGCAAACAGGAUUAGAUACCCUGGUAGUCCACGCCGUAAACGAUGUCUACUAGAAGCUCGGAACCUCGGUUCUGUUUUUCAAAGCUAACGCAUUAAGUAGACCGCCUGGG
This 504-nucleotide ribosomal RNA is filed under the name Pseudoalteromonas sp. EBKC113. RNAcentral's name for it is "bacterial SSU rRNA". It matches the Rfam family "Bacterial small subunit ribosomal RNA", at positions 380 to 877 of the family's 1533-position model. The record is from RNAcentral. Lineage: Bacteria; Pseudomonadati; Pseudomonadota; Gammaproteobacteria; Alteromonadales; Pseudoalteromonadaceae. RNAcentral also lists the same sequence under 1 other name.